GCCGGGUACAGUCUGGUGUAUGCCUGUAAUCCCCGCAAUUUGGGAGGCUGAGAUAGGAGGAUCACAAAUUUGAGACCAGCUUGGCAACUUAGCAAGACCCUGUCUCAA
RNAcentral lists this small RNA (108 nucleotides) under Marmota monax (woodchuck). The record is from RNAcentral. Lineage: Eukaryota; Metazoa; Chordata; Mammalia; Rodentia; Sciuridae.